GUCCAAUUUGUGCCACCCACUCUGACUGUUGCCAAAGUACAAGCACUGCAGAGGGCAGACUCAGGUGCUGGAGAAUUGGGACAGUUUCCCAGCUUAUUGAGGAGCGCCCAAGAGCAUGUGAAAUCUAUUAAGAGAAACCAGAGCGACAGCUGUAGCCAUAGCUGAAAAGAAAUCUCCUCAGUUUAUGGAACAUCACUUUGCCGGUUUGGAUUCUGGUGAUAACAGAUCUCAUUCACGUGAGUUCACUGAGGAGCAGGACUGAAGUGACCCUUUACAAAGUGAAGGCGGGACAAAGGGACCUACAGCACGGUGCAGUAUCCACCUCCCAGAACAAGAGGGGCCAUUCCCACACCCUGCCUGAAGGGGCAAGAGGAAGGAGAGCUUACUGGAGCAUGAGGAGCAGCUAUGACUUCCCAGCAGGAAUGGCGACUUCCAAGAAAAGACCACAGUUACCCAAAGCCCCGCAAAGAGAGAGUAAGCAUGGGCAACAGACUCCCCAACCUCUUUCUCCUGCACCCCUCCAAGAUCCUACCCAGCAGGAGGCCUAGCCUUCAGGGACCCAGAGCCCGAAAGAGGCAAAUCUGCAAAGGCAGAUAGACAGUAGCAGCAAAUAAACAUUUCACAAAAACAGCUCAACUGUACAGUUUCUAAGGAUGCCUUACAUGAAUUAGUAAACAUUAUAUACAAGUACUGUUGGUAUCCUACUUUUAAAUUAGCCUUAGAGCUGGGCAUGGUGGUACAUGCCUAUAAUUCCAGCACUUGAGAGGCUGAGGCAGGAGGAUUGUUGAGAGUUUGAGACCAGCCUGGGCUACAAAGUGAGCUCAAGGCCAGCCUUAAACUGCAUAGCGAGACCCUGUCUCAAAAAGACCAAAAAAAAAAAAAAAAAAAAAAAAAAAAAAAAAAAAAAAAUAGCCUUAGAGGUAUUAGUUGUAACUUUGUUGGAUCUUGGCCUCAUAUGGAUUUGCAAUUUUAGUUGGAACUUACCAUGAAUGUCAUUUUGAAGCUUGAUCCACUUAUUACUCACCUGACUCACACGGUAGAUUUCUGUCUCUGUUCUUAGCAGGAUACUUUACCAUACUGUGAAAAGUUUUUCAUUUACCCACCCCUGCAGUUAUCCCCUCAAGCUGGCUUAUUAAACACAAAUUAAUAAGUAAUAAUGAACUCCCCCCUCCAAUAAAAACAAACAAAAAACAAAGCCAUCUUUCUGAGCAUGCAUGUAUCUGGGGUUUCCAGUGAGAUGUGUUAAAAUAGGUCUCAAGCUCCCAGUAGGCUAUUGAUCUUAAAAAUUCUACCUAUUGGGGCUGGGGAUUUAGCUCAGUGGCACAGCACCUGCCUGGCAAGCACAAGGUCGUGAGUUCGAUUCCCAGUACUGGGGGAAAAAAAAAAAUCUA
Long non-coding RNA from Chinchilla lanigera (long-tailed chinchilla), 1391 nucleotides. Ensembl lists it as uncharacterized. The record is from Ensembl. Lineage: Eukaryota; Metazoa; Chordata; Mammalia; Rodentia; Chinchillidae.